This is a long non-coding RNA of Papaver somniferum (opium poppy), 516 nucleotides long. RefSeq lists it as uncharacterized. The transcript is spliced from 3 exons. Lineage: Eukaryota; Viridiplantae; Streptophyta; Magnoliopsida; Ranunculales; Papaveraceae. The record is from RefSeq and is a predicted model, not a curated record.
GGAGUGCGACUGUCCCUCCCUGUGGGACUAGAACAGUUGCAGGUCGUAUUGUGAAAGAAAACUAUGGUUCUGCCAACUAACAACACACAUUUACGAUUGCUGUGUUAUGGAGCAAAGGAGUAAAACCACUUAAGGGUAGAAACCUUUACAAGCUAAAAACAAUGAGACAGGGUGUUGAGAAAUGAAAGGAAUACGGUGCAAGAGACAAAAAGAAGGAUGUCACCAGACGAAUUGUAGAUGAAACUAGCUGCUCAACUUCAGAGUCAACUCGCAGCAGUCUGCACAAGACAACCCAUUCAGAUUAGACAACAUACACCUGCUGCCUACCAAAGAUGGUUCUUGCCGAAGUCUGCAUGAACACCACGAUGGCAUCAAGUAUUACUGAACAACACCACGAUAGCAGUAUAAAAGCUGUGCACAACCAAAAUAAUGAAUAUCGUGUUGCCAACCACAGGCAGUACCCAACAAAACUUUUCUAGAAAUGUUCAUGAUGCACAUGCCAAGAAUGCACAAAAU